GGACAGAGAGGGCCAACAGGUCCCAGAGGGCAGAGAGGACCCCGUGGGGCAACAGGAAAAUCAGGUGCUAAGGGCGGAUCAGGUAGUGACGGGCCUCCUG
Cyprinus carpio (common carp) is the source of this 100-nucleotide long non-coding RNA. RefSeq lists it as uncharacterized. NCBI's taxonomy places the organism in Eukaryota, Metazoa, Chordata, Actinopteri, Cypriniformes, Cyprinidae. The transcript has 3 exons. The record is from RefSeq and is a predicted model, not a curated record.